Long non-coding RNA from Perca fluviatilis (European perch), 562 nucleotides. RefSeq lists it as uncharacterized. Lineage: Eukaryota; Metazoa; Chordata; Actinopteri; Perciformes; Percidae. The transcript has 4 exons. The record is from RefSeq and is a predicted model, not a curated record.
AAACAAACAAACACACACACACACACACACACGGUGGAUGCAGGAAAAAACGGAGAUGAGAGUAUACAGGACGACCUGACAGCUACGCUCGUUAUUUCUGGAUCAAUGGAAGAACAUUGCCAGGAUAAGCCUGACAAGGGAUGUCUGGCUUAACCUCCACACUAGCAAGCUAAGAAACACUGGAAAUGGACCGAUUGGCGGGACUGCUACUGACAGAGUUAACACAGUCGGCGAUACACUGGGUGCAAAUAUUCCACCGAAAAAAGGUAUUUACAGAAACUACUUUGCAGAGCCACCGUCGCUGCAUCUGGAACUGAUAGCGCUGCCCAAGACAAUUGUGAUUGGUUUAAAGAAAUGCAAAACAACCCAGAGUGUUUUUUUCUUCCUAUCCCAGAAUGUAUGUGAGGUGUAGCCAGACCUAUCUCAACAGCGCUGUAGAGUAAGGUUUGGCGAUGAAAGGCUACAUAUCAACUCACGAAAAGAAACUAAAACAUGAUUUGAUAAUUACUGAGCUCUUCCCCUUUUUAAUAAAAAGGAAUACAUGGAAUGUGUGGAAUUUCAA